CUACGGAGGAGUGCGAGCGGUUAUCCGGAUUUAUUGGGUUUAAAGGGUGCGUAGGCGGCUUUUUAAGUCAGCGGUGAAAUUUUGCAGCUUAACUGUAACAGUGCCGUUGAUACUGGGGAGCUAGGAUUUGGUUGCUGUGGGUGGAAUGUGUGGUGUAGCGGUGAAAUGCGUAGAUAUCGGGAAGAACACCGGUGGCGAAGGCGACUUUCUGGUCUGUAACUGACGCUCAGGCACGAAGGCGUGGGGAUCAAACCCGGAUUAGAUACCCUGGUAGUCCCUGA
This 281-nucleotide ribosomal RNA is filed under the name uncultured prokaryote. RNAcentral describes it as "partial 16S ribosomal RNA". It matches the Rfam family "Bacterial small subunit ribosomal RNA", at positions 523 to 800 of the family's 1533-position model. The record is from RNAcentral.